This 210-nucleotide ribosomal RNA is filed under the name uncultured Bacillus sp. RNAcentral describes it as "partial 16S ribosomal RNA". It matches the Rfam family "Bacterial small subunit ribosomal RNA", at positions 1171 to 1382 of the family's 1533-position model. The record is from RNAcentral. Lineage: Bacteria; Bacillati; Bacillota; Bacilli; Caryophanales; Bacillaceae.
AAGUGGGAUGACGUCAAAUCAUCAUGCCCUUAUGUUCUGGGCUACACACGUGCUACAAUGGCCGGUACAGACGGACGCAAAGCCGCGAGGUGGAGCAAAUCCUAAAAAGCCGGUCUCAGUUCGGAUUGCAGGCUGCAAUUCGCCUGCAUGAAGUCGGAAUCGCUAGUAAUCGCAGGUCAGCAUACUGCGGUGAAUACGUUCCCGGGCCUU